GAAGCAAACAGGUUGAUACCUGAAGUCUGGAACAUUCAUGAAUAAAAACAUGCUAAACUAUAAUAAUAAAAUGCACUAGCAAAUAUGUGGAAACUAGCACGCCCAUAAAGCCUUAUGUACAAUGUUUCUGGAGGCAGAUAGUGUUAAAUUGCCGACAUGCUUUUGAAGUUUUUUAAAAUAGUUUGGUUUUGUGUGCUUUUUGUUGUUUAAUAUGGUUUUAUCAAUUUUCCUUUAGCAUUGAUAUAAUGGACUUAAUGUAAAUUGUUGCAUAAGGCUUGAACUCUACAUAUAGAUGCAUAAUUGUAGAAGUUUAAAAUCAGUAUUAUGAUACAUGUCUUCUGUUUGCAAUAUGCAUUGAUGAUAUUGGUGGUCUAUGAAAUCCAUGUUUUGGUCCUACCCAUGUGAAGUUCUAUCUAGACACCAUUCUUUUCUGUUAAUUGACUACAAGGAUUCUUGGCAUAUAAAAAAUCUGGUAGUUUAUGUAUGAAGGCAGAAGUUCCAAUGAAAAUCAGCAUGCUUUUCAAUGCUACACCCUUAACACUAACUACCAUUUUUAUUCUCACCUUAUGUUUACUUUAUGAA
Molecule: unclassified non-coding RNA, 582 nt
Filed under: Hevea brasiliensis (rubber tree)
Lineage: Eukaryota; Viridiplantae; Streptophyta; Magnoliopsida; Malpighiales; Euphorbiaceae
Source: RNAcentral